GUAAGGAUGAUGAAAGAAAUCAUUCGGAUUCCCAUUGAUUUCCUACGCGGGAAAGAUGUGAUCAUAAACCAGCUACUUUUGACUUAU
Non-coding RNA from Brassica napus (rape), 87 nucleotides. The record is from Rfam. Lineage: Eukaryota; Viridiplantae; Streptophyta; Magnoliopsida; Brassicales; Brassicaceae.